UCCUCCUUUUCCCCUUCCCCCUCCUCCCAGCAUGUAAGACGUGCCUACUUCCUCUUCACCUUCCAGCACAACUGUAAGUUUUCUGAGGUCUCCCUAGCCAUGCUUCCUGUGUAGCCUGCAGAACUGUGAGUCAAUUAAACCUCUUUUCUUUAUAAAUUACCCAGGCUUAGGUAGUUCUUUACAGCAAUGUGAGAAUGAACUAAUACACCAUAUCUAAUCCAACAGCACAUCCUGUUGGAUCUACUUUCAGAAUAGAUUCAGAAUCCAACAACUUCUUACCUCUGCCACUGCAAUAAUCUCUUACAUGGAGGUCCCAGUGGGUGAAUGGGAACUGAAACCCAACCCUGCUCCACUGGCUGAGCUGUGUACCUUUCUCCAAGGCUGCACCCACCUGGAAGAAGGGGCACCCUUUUCUAUAUAUACCAAGAUGCCCUCUACAGGCAUCUAGCAACUUCCCAGUAGUUCGUGUUACCUCUCUGCUCAAAACCCUCUCACUCAGAAGAAACGCCAAAAUCUCACAAUGGCAGCACUAUGGAACUUGGCCCAGGUACCUCUGUGAUGCCAUGUCCUUCAGCCACACUGGCCUCCGGCGAGCUCCGCCUUUACACUCACUAUUCCUUUUACCUAAAUUGGCUAACUUUCCCACAUCCUUCCAGUUUCUUCACAGGGGGCCCUUCCCUGGAUUGUAGCACCCCAACCCUGGUGUGUCCAUCUCUUUGGCCCUCCAUAGCCACAUCCUCAUCUACUGUGCCUAAAAUUGUGUCCCCUAAAAGUUAUAUUCAAGACUUAACGCCUAAGACCUGUGGAUGUGACCUUGUUUGGAAAUAAGGUGUUUCCAGAUAGAAUCAAGAUGAGGUCAUACAAUCAAGAUGAAUCAAGAUGGAUUCAGGUGGGCCUAAUCCAAGGACUGGCAUCCUGGUAAGAACAGAGAAAUUUGGACAUAGAGACCCCCAGGGGAGAAGGUCUUGAGGAAGGAGGCGGCAAUGGGAGUGAUGCAUCGAGGCAAGCAUCCUAGUCCAUUUGUGUUGAUAAAAUACCUGAGAAUGGGCAAUUUAUAAACAAUAGAAAUGUAUUUUCUCACAGAUCUGGAGGCUGGGAUGUCCAAGGCACUUGUGGGUUUGGUGUCUAACAGGAGCUCGGUCUUUGUUUCCAAGAUGAUGCCUCGUUGCUACCAGAGAGGAUGGAUGCUGUGUCUUACGUGGUGGAAGGGGCAAAAGGGUAAAAAUGGGCCUGGCUGGUUCCCUCCAGCCCUUUGUAAGACACUAAUCCCAUUCAUGAGGGCUCCAACCUCAUGACGGAACCACCUCCUAAAGGCCCCACUUCUGUGACUACUGCCAGGUUGGUGAUUACGUUUCAACAUAGGAAUUUUGGGGGACACAUUUAAACUGUAGCAGCAAGGAGCACAAAGGAUUGCAGAAUCCACCAGAAAUGGAGAAGGAGAAAGACCUGGAACAAAUUCUCCCUCAGAUCCUUCAGAAGGAAUCCACCCUGCUGACACCUUGAUCUUAGACUUCUGGCCACCGUAACUGUGAGACAAUACAUUUCUGUUGUUUUAAGCCACCAAGUUUGUGGUUCUUUGUUAUAUUAGCCCUAGAGGAAACAAUUACCCCGUCCACCAUACAAUAUGUUACUUAUUAAUUUGCUUAGGGUCUGCCUCCCCAUUAGGAGGGAGAGGAUUCUGUCUGUGUUUAUUGCCACGUCUCCUGUGGCUGGCAUGGGGCCUGGCACAGAGUAGAUGCCACAAAUACUUCCUGGAAAAAUGAAUAAAAGUUCACUCAGCUGAACCUGGUAUGUGGGUCUCCCAGCACCUCCUGUGGCCAUUUCUGAUGCAUCCUCCGCCACUCCCACCUGCAGCGGGUGACUGACUCUUCAGUGACAGAGGAGCUGCACACAGGUGGCGAAACGCAUCUCAUGUGGACGUCUGAACCUAGUGCCUGCCCAGGCUGCUAGAUACCUGAGACUGUGAUAUGGUUUGGCUGUAAUCCCACCCAACUGUCAUCUCGAAUUGUAGCUCCCAUAAUUCCUACAUGUUGUGGGAGGAACCUGGUGGGAGAUAAUUGAAUCAUGGGGGACGGUUUCCCCCAUACUGUCCUUGUGGUAGUGAAUAAGUCUCACAAGAUCUGACGGUUUUAUAAGGGGUUCCCCCUUUCACUUGGCUCUCAUUUUCUCUCUUGCAGCCGCCAUGUAGGAAGUGCCUUUAGCCUUCUGCCAUGAUUGUGAGGCCUCCCCAGCCAUGUGCAACUACUGGGAAAGUGAGGUGCAGAGGUAUUUUGCAACGUGCCCACAGAACCCCAGCGAGCCCGUGUUGGAGUUACAACUGUGCCUCAGGGAGCAUUCUCAGGCAGCAUUCUCUUAUGCUUCACCGUCUCACAGAUGAUAAGGUUUCAUUCAAGGACUUACAACAGCAACCCGGAGGGAGCAUUCUCAGUGGCUGGUAGAUGCCAUUUGUACUGAGCAGGACAAUUAAGCCCAAUUCUGGAAAAAUUCUGCUUUCUCUAUUCAAUGCAUUUUAUAAAUGUCUUCACUCAGCACAUUUACCCUACUAAU
This is a long non-coding RNA of Homo sapiens (human), 2547 nucleotides long. Ensembl annotates it as long intergenic non-protein coding RNA 1426. NCBI's taxonomy places the organism in Eukaryota, Metazoa, Chordata, Mammalia, Primates, Hominidae. The record is from Ensembl.